This 253-nucleotide ribosomal RNA is filed under the name uncultured bacterium. RNAcentral describes it as "partial 16S ribosomal RNA". It matches the Rfam family "Bacterial small subunit ribosomal RNA", at positions 524 to 776 of the family's 1533-position model. The record is from RNAcentral.
UACAGAGGGGGCGAGCGUUAUUCGGAAUUAUUGGGCGUAAAGGGCGCGUAGGCGGCCUUUCAAGUGACGGGUGAAAUCCCUCGGCUUAACCGAGGAACUGCCUGUCAGACUGGAAGGCUUGAGACCGGGAGAGGUGAGUGGAAUUCCCAGUGUAGCGGUGAAAUGCGUAGAUAUCGGGAGGAACACCAGUGGCGAAGGCGGCUCACUGGCCCGUUACCGACGCUCAGGCGCGACAGCGUGGGGAGCAAACAGG